CAACCUGGAAACAGAUGCUAAUACCGGAUAACAACAGAUGAUGCCUAUCAACUGUUUAAAAGAUGGUUCUGCUAUCACUCUUGGAUGGACCUGCGGUGCAUUAGCUAGUUGGUAGGGUAACGGCCUACCAAGGCGAUGAUGCAUAGCCGAGUUGAGAGACUGAUCGGCCACAUUGGGACUGAGACACGGCCCAAACUCCUACGGGAGGAGCAGCC
RNAcentral lists this ribosomal RNA (215 nucleotides) under uncultured Lactobacillus sp. RNAcentral describes it as "partial 16S ribosomal RNA". It matches the Rfam family "Bacterial small subunit ribosomal RNA", at positions 144 to 348 of the family's 1533-position model. The record is from RNAcentral. Lineage: Bacteria; Bacillati; Bacillota; Bacilli; Lactobacillales; Lactobacillaceae.